Non-coding RNA from Podarcis lilfordi (Lilford's wall lizard), 5983 nucleotides. The record is from the annotation of a GenBank genome assembly. Lineage: Eukaryota; Metazoa; Chordata; Lepidosauria; Squamata; Lacertidae.
CUUCUCUCCCUCAACUCACUGGUAGUUAGAAAGACAAAAUUCAGGGUGGAGAGUGGAGUUAUGUGAGGUGGAAGCUGGAAGCAAGGCUGCAGGCUGGGAAGGCAGAAAGUCAGAGCCAUGCCUGAUUUCUGCUGAAAUCCAAUGCUGUGGCUGUGGGAGAAGCAAGACCCUCUUGCGGUGCGAAUGCUGUGAACCCCUCCAGUAUAGGCUCAGGUUGUAUAUAUGUGUAAUUAACUAUGUGUCAUAAGGAAACCACAGCCUCUGCUGUACCUCAUUCCAAAGGAAACACAAACCCCUGGUAAGCUCCUGGAACUCCGGAAAUCCUACAUUGCUCAGAGAUUGGGGUGACAUGGAACAGAAUGUUUAGUCUCUAGUGAAUGAAAGGGCAAAUGUAUGCAUAUUCUCUAGAAUCCAGUGGAUGUGUGGAGAACGACUGUAGCUCCGUGGUAGCACACAUGCUUUGCAAGCCAAGUAUUGGCUCAUGAUGCAUAGCCAUACGGUCAAGUGGGUCCCUGCACAUAUAACAUGCUUUUUGUACAUUGGUAAAUUAUGGACUGUGAUGCCUUGUGUGGUGUGUUGAGUUGGCAUUCCCUCUUGCACAUGCUGGGAGCUGAUUCAUUUAGCUCCAUUGCCUGGCAGUGGCUCUCCAGGAUUUUAGACAGUCCAGGUCUACUUGGAGAAACUGGCCAUUGCACCCAGGGUCAUCUACAUGCAAAGAAUGUACUCUACCACAAAGUAGCAACUCUUUCCUGAGUGAGGUGUAUUCAGCACCACAAUGCCAAAAGUUUUCCAUAAAACAUCAAUUGAAACUCUUAUAUGAAACACAGAAGUGUUUCAAAUUAUUGCUGCAUGACUACCAGAAAGUCAAGUUUAGAUUUACAAAGCACAAAUCUGUUUUCUCAAGAAUGAUAAAGUACAUGCCUGUCAACUGGAAGUUGAUAUGGAUGAAAUUGCCCAUACAUAAUUCCCACUAGAACAAAAAUUGAGUUUACAAAGCACCACCAGAAUGCUGGUGCAAAAAUAAUUCAAUAGAUGUUUGUUGGAUGCAUUUCAAUGUGCUGGUUGUUCUCAAUGGUACUAAAUUAUAUAGGUUUAAGUUAAAAUGGAUCCAGGUGGACCAGCAAGCACCAGUCUUCUGUGCUUUUGAGGACAGGGGGUAUAUUCAGCGGAUAUGCCUGUAUGAGCCUACCCUUAUGAGCUGGAUAUUUCCUGGAUGAUUUUGCCCCUUUCUUUUUGUGGUUUAAACAGAGGCAGCUCCAGUGUCUCUUGCAUCCACUUGAGCCCCAAACUCUUUGCUCUACCUUCUCUUAUUUGGGCCACACCUUUUCCUUUCCCAUUCAACCAUAUUCAUUCACUUACCAUAUUCUUCACACCCCUUUCACCUUCAUCCAAUGGGUGAAAAAAUAAUCCCAUUAAUGGUUUCUGUGGUGUAUUUUGUUGGAUUUCUAGUAUGUGGUAGAAAUUCAAACACAAAUCAUUACAAACAACAAAAAAUAUCUUUUAAAGGGGAAAUCAUUUAUUUAUUUCAUAAAAGUUAUACACUGAUUGAUUGUAAAAACCUCAAAGUGGUUUACAAGAGAUAAAAUAGUAAAAUCAAGUAAAAUUCACAAGCCUACUUUCAUGAUGAUUAUAUUAUUAUUAUUAAUAAUAAUAAUAAUAAUAAUAAUAAUAAUAAUAAUAAUAAUUUGUUUAUAGCCCACCCAUCUGGCUGGGUUUCCCCAGCCACUCUGGGCGGCUCUCAACAGAAUAUUAAAAACAUGAUAAAACGUCAAAAAUUAAAAAUUUCCCUAAACAGGGCUGCCUUCAGAUGUCUUUUAAAGGUGAGAUAGCUGCUUAUUUCUCUCACAUCUGAAGGGAGGGCGUUCCACGGGGUGGGCGCCACUACCGAGAAGGCCCUCUGUCUGGUUCCCUGUAACCUCACUUCUCGCAAUCAGGGAACUGCCAGAAGGCCCUUGGCGCUGGAUUUCAGUGUCCGGGCUGAAUGAUGGGUGGAGACGCUCCUUCAGGUAUACAGGACUGAGGCCAUUUAGGGCUUUAAAGGUCAGCACCAACACUUUGAAUUGUGCUCGGAAACGUAUUGGGAGCCAAUGCAGAUCUCUCAGGACCGGUGUUAUGUAGUCCAGGCAGCCACUCCCAGUCACCAGUCUAGCUGCUGCAUUCUGGAUUAAUUGCAGUUUCCGGGUCACCUUCAAAGGUAGCCCCACGUAGAGCGCAUUGCAGUAGUCCAAGAGGGAGAUAACUAGAGCAUGCACCACUCUGGUGAGACAGUCUGCGGGCAGGUAGGGUCUCAGCCUGCGUACCAGGUGGAGCUGGUAGACAGCUGCCCAGGGCACAGAAUUAACCUGUGCCUCCAUGGACAGCUGUGAUUCCAAAAUGACUCCCAGGCUGCGCACCUUCAGGGGCACAGUUACCCCAUUCAGGACCAGGGAGUCCCACACACCCGCCCGCCCCCUGUCCCCCAGAAACAGUACUUCUGUCUUGUCAGGAUUCAACCUCAAUCUGUUAGCCGCCAUCCAUCCUCCAGCCACCUCCAGGCACUCACACAGGACCUUCACCGCCUUCACUGGUUCUGAUUUGAAAGAGAGGUAGAGCUGGGUAUCAUCUGCAUACUGAUGAACACCCAGCCCAAACCCCCUGGUGAUCUCUCCCAGCGGCUUCAUAUAGAUAUUAAAAAGCAUGGGGGAGAGGACGGAACCCUGAGGCACCCCACAAGUGAGGACCCAGGGGUCUGAACACUCAUCCCCCACCACCACUUUCUGAACACGGCCCAGGAGGAAGGAGCGAAACCACUGUAUAACAGUGCUCCCAGCCCCUCUAGACGGUCCAGAAGGAUGUUAUGGUCAAUGGUGUCAAAAGCCGCUGAGAGAUCCAGCAGAACUAGGAAACAGCUCUCACCUUUGUCCCUAGCCCGCCGGAGAUCAUCGACCAGUGUGACCAAGGCAGUUUCAGUCCCAUGAUGAGGCCUGAUUCCCGAUUGGAAGGGAUCCAAAUGGUCCGCAUCCUCCAGGCAUGCUUGGAGUUGCUCAGCAACCACGCGCUCAAUCACCUUGCCCAAGAAUGGAAGAUUUGAGACUGGGUGAUAGUUAGCCAUAUUGGCUGGGUCUAAAGAUGUUUUUUAAGAAGCGGUUUAAUGACCACCUCUUUCAGCGGAUCUGAGAAGGCUCCCUCACAUAGGAAAGCAUUCACCACCCCACAGAACCCAUCACCCAGCCCUUCCCGGCUUGCUUUUAUGGACAAGGAUGGACAAGGCUCAAGAAGACAGGUGGUUGGUUUCACUCGUCCAAGCAGCCUGUCCACAUCCUCAGAUGUAACAGACUGAAAUUGAUCCCAUAUAAUAUGACUAGACAGGACUCUAGCACACUCCUGCCCCGGCCCUGCUCCCAUGGUGGAGUCUACCUCUUUCUGAAUCUGAGCGACUUUAUCUGCAAAAAACUUUGCAAAAGCAUUGCAAGAGAUCUUGGGGUCCAGGUGGUGCAGGUGGUUCCAAUAGAUUGUGAACCACCUCAAAGAGUCUCCUGCUGCUGUUUUCUGAAGAUGCAAUAGAGGUGGCAAAGAAGGUCCUCUUCGCCAUUGCCAUCACCACUUGGUAGGCUCGACGUUGAGCACUAACCCGUGAGUGAGUUUCCCGCCGGCAUUCUAGCCGUCUCAGCAAUUGUUUCCUCGCCCUCAGCUCCGAAGAAAACCAUGGGGCUGUCCGGGCUCCAUGCAAUCGGAGAGGGCGCUUCGGAGCCAGACAGUCAAAAACCCUGGUUAACUUUGCAUUCCAGCGGGCCACCAGGGAAUCAGCUGAUUCACUGAAAGGCCAUCAACAUGGGAUAAAAAAUCCCCUACCACUCUCUGGAAACCAUUUGGAUCCAUUAAGCAGCGGGGGCAGACCAUCCAAAUCGGUCCCACCUCCCUGCAGAGGGGAAGGGUCGCGGAGAAGUCCAGUUGCACCAGGAAGUGAUCUGACCAUGGCACUUCUUUUGUUUCACUUUUACUUAAUGUCAGAUCACCAACAUCCAUAGAGGUGAACACCAAGUCUAAGGCAUGUCCGCGGCUAUGAGUUGGGCCAAACUUAUUCAGGGACAGUCCCAUGGAGGCCAUGCUUUCCACGAAGUCCCGAGUGGCCCCUUGUAAGGUCGUGUCGGCAUGGAUGUUAAAAUCCCCUAGGACAAUCAAUCUGCCAUGACCUGAAGCACCUCGGGCAGGGAAUCCUUGGUGCAGCGAGGAGGUCAGUACACCAAAAGGAAUCCUGUACUGCCCCUAUUGCCCAACUUCCAGAACAUGCACUCAGAAAACUGGUUCUUCCCAAUAGGAUGCCUGGUGCAAACUAGUGACUUCCUAAAAAUCACUGCAACCCCCCCUCUCCCCGCCCACAUGACCUGGGUUGCUGUGCGUAAGAGAAACCUGGUGGACAAGCAGCAGCAAGGACAGGCCCAUCUGCUUCAUCAAACCAGGUCUCUGUCACACAUGCCAGGUCAAAUUCUUCAUCCAUAAUCAGGUCUUGGAUGGCAGUGGUCUUAUUCAUCAUUGACCUGGCAUUGCACAGCAACACUUUCAGGUCAUGUGGGUUUCCCUUGCUGAUUCCAGUAUCCUUCUGGUCAGGACCAGACCUGGAGGCAGGGAUAGUCCUUAGACAACAACUAAACCUGCCUCCUCGGUAAUGACAUGGUCUGGUCUUAGCAUAGCUCCUCUUCCUGCCCGUGAUCACUGAGAUCGGGUGUCCUGGUGCUUCUGCCUCUGUGGAACCUGCCCCAGCCAUUCUGUUGGCUGAAGCCCACUCCCAGGCAGCCCUGACCCUUUCCCUUUAAAAAGCAAAAUACAAACUAUACAGUAGCCUAACAAAAUAGUAAAAGUAAAAACAAAGCCAAAAACAAUUAUACUAAAAUAAAACUAAUCCCCACCCCAAGUCAACAUUUAUCCCACACCAAACAAAAAUAAAAUAAAAUAAAAUAAAAAUAUAGAAAUAAAAACCACUGUUCACAGUGCAACAAAGUAAAAACACUUUAAAAACAUUUUAAAAUAUGUAAAACCAUUUUCGACAUUUGCUGCAGCCGUAGCAUCAACAGCAACGUCCUGAGGCCUCGCUGGAGCCUCUUAGAGCUGUGGUGGUGAGUGUGAAUUGGCCUUCCCCAACACUCACAUUGGCAGCAGCAGCAGUGUCCCAAGGCCUUGCUUAAACUUACAGUGGUUUGCUUCUUCCAUGACCAGUCAAACAAACAGUUGUUGUACAUACAGCACACACCAGAAGUGCUUUUACCAUCUAUGGGGUCACUUCCCAAACUUGCAUCAGCAUAUAUUUCAAGCCCUCCAGACAACCGUUUUAUCAUACUCAUCAGCAAAACACCGCCUCCAUGCACAAAUACCUCAAAUGGAUCAAACAACGCAGUAUUAUUGAAGGAGAGAAGCAGCAGCCACUGGGACCAGCUUAAUAUUCAUCUCCACAACUGCCUUUGACGCCACAGUUACUGAGCGGGGAGCUUGAGUUGGGCUCUAAUUGCUAAACAAGUAUCUGGAGGCAUCUGGUUUCCCUGGGAACAGCCACAGCUUUUUGAUUGCACUGAUUCAUAACAUUUUAUUUACCCCUUUAGGAGGAGCCAGGCCUGAGCCCAACAGAAAAGGAGAUGGAAUUGGGGAAAGGGCUGCUACAGAAGGGUCAAUUUCUGCCUAGCUUUUAGAAUGGCUCUCUCACAAAACCAUAUCCACCUGCAAGCUUCUAGGAAGCAGAUACCAAAUGAAUGUAUUGGCUGAGAUACAGAGGGACUGUCAUUCAAGCCAUUUGGAGGGUUGAGGGGGGAGAACAAAAGAAAGCAAUCCAUUAAGGUUGUGCAGAAAAGCUGGAGGACAAGGAGUCACUUCAGCAAAUGGCAAAUGUCAGUGCUUUGUGGAACAGACCCUGGAAAACAAGGAACCUGGAAUUGCCUGUCUUAGCAUCCAACUCUGUAGAAGGAAAGUGAAAUAUACCAAGUCGCGUAGUGAUUUCAUGCUCUUUAUUGCAGCU